CGGACGGGUGAGUAAUGUCUGGGAAACUGCCCGAUGGAGGGGGAUAACUACUGGAAACGGUAACUAAUACCGCAUAACGUCGCAAGACCAAAGAGGGGGACCUCGGGCCUCUUGCCAUCGGAUGUGCCCAGAUGGGAUUAGCUAGUAGGUGGGGUAACGGCUCACCUAGGCGACGAUCCCUAGCUGGUCUGAGAGGAUGACCAGCCACACUGGAACUGAGACACAGUCCAG
RNAcentral lists this ribosomal RNA (231 nucleotides) under uncultured bacterium. Its description in RNAcentral is "partial 16S ribosomal RNA". It matches the Rfam family "Bacterial small subunit ribosomal RNA", at positions 99 to 334 of the family's 1533-position model. The record is from RNAcentral.